ACCUUUAACUCAUUUGUCCCCCUCCCCUCAGCUCCUGACAACCACCAUCCUACUCUCUUUAUAUGAAUUUGACUA
Long non-coding RNA from Mustela erminea (ermine), 75 nucleotides. RefSeq lists it as uncharacterized. The transcript is spliced from 3 exons. NCBI's taxonomy places the organism in Eukaryota, Metazoa, Chordata, Mammalia, Carnivora, Mustelidae. The record is from RefSeq and is a predicted model, not a curated record.